Molecule: non-coding RNA, 180 nt
Filed under: Bacillota bacterium
Lineage: Bacteria; Bacillati; Bacillota
Also listed under: 2 other names
Description: 6S RNA
Rfam family: 6S / SsrS RNA
About the family: E. coli 6S RNA was the first non coding RNA to be sequenced, but its function was unknown until recently.
Source: RNAcentral
AAAAUUCUGAGAUGUUCGUAAGACCUAGUAAAAUUCAACCUACAAUAUACAUCCGGGAGAUUAUAUUUUUAUUUGGACGGAAAGCCUCCUCGAGUGGACUUCGAAAGAAUAAAAUGUAUCACCCACCUUGGAGAAGGGCUAGGAUGUGAAUUUUACGGUUAACGGCAUCUUGGAUUUAUU